This 972-nucleotide ribosomal RNA is filed under the name Protoperidinium elegans. RNAcentral's name for it is "partial 28S rRNA". It matches the Rfam family "Eukaryotic large subunit ribosomal RNA", at positions 85 to 1255 of the family's 3401-position model. Lineage: Eukaryota; Dinophyceae; Peridiniales; Protoperidiniaceae. The record is from RNAcentral.
AAUGGCGAGUGCAUCAGGGCAGGCUCAGUUCGGAAAUCGGAGCAUAUACCCAUGAUUUGUAAGGUGGUGAUGUGCUACCAGUUGAGAUGCAGUAAUACGCCCCUGGAAAAGAGCAUAGAUACGGGUGACAAUCCUAUGUGUCGUCUGCAACGUUCAGUGCACGGUGUAUCUUCCAAGAGUCGUGUACCUUGGGAAUGGUGCGUGAAACAGGUGGUACAAUUCAUGCAAAGCAGUCUCUGUGUUUGAGACCAACAGCAAACAAGUACCAUGAGGGAAAAGUGAAACCGGACUCUGUAAAGAGAGGUAACAGUGUUUGAACCUGCUGGAAGGGACAUGGAGGGCACCAGUGUAGCCUGGCGAGAUUGCUGUGUGCANNNNNNNNNNNNNNNNNNNCCAAGGAGUCUAGCAUGUCUGCGAGCUCAUGGGUGGCAACCAUCUAUGUUUGCGCAACGAAAAUAUUGGCUGGUAUAGGUGCACUGGCAACAAACUUUUCGCUGAUGGGAAGUCUGAGUGUGAGCACACCUGCUAGGACCCGAAAGAUGGUGAGCUAUGCCUGUGGAAGGCAAACCCAGGGGAAACUCUGAUGGAAGCUUGUAGCGGUACUGACGUGCAAAUCGUUCGUUGUAUAUGGGUAUGGGGGCGAAAGACUAAUCGAACCAUCUAGUACCUGGUUCCCUUCGAAGUUUUCCUCAGGAUAGCUGGAGUUGAUCUAUGUUUAGCAGGUAAAGCANAUGAUUAGAUGCAUUGGGGGCUCGCUGCCUUUGACCUAUUCUCAAACUCUAAAUGCGUAAGGCCUAGUUGUUGUUUGUGUGAAUGUCUGGGAGGGGAGAGUGGUGCCUCUGUGUGGGCCAUUUUUGGUAAGCAGAACUGGUGAUGAGGGAUGAACCUAAUGUUGGGUGCACGCGCUUAGUUGCCUACUCAUCCGAUACCAUGAAGGGUGUUGGUUCAUUUAAACAGCAGGACGGUGGUCAU